Molecule: ribosomal RNA, 888 nt
Filed under: uncultured bacterium
Lineage: Bacteria
Description: bacterial SSU rRNA
Rfam family: Bacterial small subunit ribosomal RNA
Source: RNAcentral
GAUCCUGGCUCAGGACGAACGCUGGCGGCGCGCCUAACACAUGCAAGUCGAACGAGAGAUGAGGAGCUUGCUCUUCAAAUCGAGUGGCGAACGGGUGAGUAACGCGUGAGGAACCUGCCUCAAAGAGGGGGACAACAGUUGGAAACGACUGCUAAUACCGCAUAAGCCCACAGCUCGGCAUCGAGCAGAGGGAAAAGGAGCAAUCCGCUUUGAGAUGGCCUCGCGUCCGAUUAGCUAGUUGGUGAGGUAACGGCCCACCAAGGCGACGAUCGGUAGCCGGACUGAGAGGUUGAACGGCCACAUUGGGACUGAGACACGGCCCAGACUCCUACGGGAGGCAGCAGUGGGGAAUAUUGCACAAUGGGGGAAACCCUGAUGCAGCGACGCCGCGUGGAGGAAGAAGGUCUUCGGAUUGUAAACUCCUGUUGUUGAGGAAGAUAAUGACGGUACUCAACAAGGAAGUGACGGCUAACUACGUGCCAGCAGCCGCGGUAAAACGUAGGUCACAAGCGUUGUCCGGAAUUACUGGGUGUAAAGGGAGCGCAGGCGGGAGAACAAGUUGGAAGUGAAAUCCAUGGGCUCAACCCAUGAACUGCUUUCAAAACUGUUUUUCUUGAGUAGUGCAGAGGUAGGCGGAAUUCCCGGUGUAGCGGUGGAAUGCGUAGAUAUCGGGAGGAACACCAGUGGCGAAGGCGGCCUACUGGGCACCAACUGACGCUGAGGCUCGAAAGUGUGGGUAGCAAACAGGAUUAGAUACCCUGGUAGUCCACACCGUAAACGAUGAUUACUAGGUGUUGGAGGAUUGACCCCUUCAGUGCCGCAGUUAACACAAUAAGUAAUCCACCUGGGGAGUACGACCGCAAGGUUGAAACUCAAAGGAAUUGACGG